AUCCAAUUAGAAAAAAAUCAACCGAUCAACAUCAAUUAAUUGUGUGUGGUUGGUAUCAGGGUGCGAGGCUAACCGCGCGUCAGCGAGGACGAGGCUCGUGCAGCGCGUCUGUUUAAAGUUGUUCGAAAGUUGUGUGGAUCGGUUUGGUUUUUCCUUUUGCUGAUGUGUUGCUGUUGCAACGAAAUGGAAAAUUAAAACAACUGGAUUUUCACUGAUUGCGAGGGUAAAGGCCUGGUGUUUAGGAACGUGUUCUUCGCGGUAUCCCUUCCGGUGAUACUUUUGCUGACGGGUAGGGCAGUGAUG
Long non-coding RNA from Nicrophorus vespilloides, 303 nucleotides. RefSeq lists it as uncharacterized. The record is from RefSeq and is a predicted model, not a curated record. The transcript has 3 exons. NCBI's taxonomy places the organism in Eukaryota, Metazoa, Arthropoda, Insecta, Coleoptera, Silphidae.